ACAUAUAUUAUUAUAGACAUUAUUAAUGAAAAAUUUUGGGGCUGUUAGGACUUUGGAAGGAAACUAGCUUAUAUUUCUUUAUUAUGCUCAUUUAUUCUGUUUUUAUAUAAUCGCAGCACACACAACAAGAAGACCAACUCAAAACGCCAUUGCGGCUUACCACAGAGUAUUAUGAGUUUUAACAAUGUUGCCAAUAUAAAAUAUUUAAUUGCACUUAACACCUCCCCUCAAUAAAAUAUUUUUAACAACA
Melitaea cinxia (Glanville fritillary) is the source of this 250-nucleotide long non-coding RNA. RefSeq lists it as uncharacterized. Lineage: Eukaryota; Metazoa; Arthropoda; Insecta; Lepidoptera; Nymphalidae. The record is from RefSeq and is a predicted model, not a curated record. The transcript is spliced from 3 exons.